Molecule: ribosomal RNA, 305 nt
Filed under: uncultured bacterium
Lineage: Bacteria
Description: partial 16S ribosomal RNA
Rfam family: Bacterial small subunit ribosomal RNA
Source: RNAcentral
ACAGCAGUCGCCGCAGUAAUACAGAGGGUGCGAGCGUUAAUCGGAUUUACUGGGCGUAAAGCGUGCGUAGGCGGCUUUUUAAGUCGGAUGUGAAAUCCCUGAGCUUAACUUAGGAAUUGCAUUCGAUACUGGGAAGCUAGAGUAUGGGAGAGGAUGGUAGAAUUCCAGGUGUAGCGGUGAAAUGCGUAGAGAUCUGGAGGAAUACCGAUGGCGAAGGCAGCCAUCUGGCCUAAUACUGACGCUGAGGUACGAAAGCAUGGGGAGCAAACAGGAUUAGAUACCCCCGUAGUCCCUGUCUCUUAUAC